Molecule: ribosomal RNA, 392 nt
Filed under: uncultured bacterium
Lineage: Bacteria
Description: partial 16S ribosomal RNA
Rfam family: Bacterial small subunit ribosomal RNA
Source: RNAcentral
AUACGGAGGAUCCGAGCGUUAUCCGGAUUUAUUGGGUUUAAAGGGUGCGCAGGCGGCCAUUUAAGUCAGCGGUUAAAUCGUGGGGCUCAACCCCAUUCUGCCGUUGAUACUGGGUGGCUUGAUUGCGGUCGAGGUUGGCGGAAUUCGUUGUGUAGCGGUGAAAUGCAUAAAUAUGACGAAGAACACCGAUUGCGUAGGCAGCUGACCAGACCGCAAAUGACGCUCAUGCACGAAAGUGCGGGGAUCGAACAGGAUUAGAUACCCUGGUAGUCCGCACAGUAAACGAUGAAUACUUGUUUUCGGCGAUAUAAUGUCGGAGGCAAAGCGAAAGCGAUAAGUAUUCCACCUGGGGAGUACGCCGGCAACGGUGAAACUCAAAUGAAUUGACGGGG